UGGGUGCGGUUCGUGCCGGCG
This 21-nucleotide unclassified non-coding RNA is filed under the name Chlamydomonas reinhardtii. RNAcentral's name for it is "small RNA Cre_3418". Lineage: Eukaryota; Viridiplantae; Chlorophyta; Chlorophyceae; Chlamydomonadales; Chlamydomonadaceae. The record is from RNAcentral.